GAUGAACGCUGGCGGCGUGCCUAAUACAUGCAAGUCGAGCGAACAGGCGCGGAGUUUCCUCCUCUGUCGUUAGCGGCAGGCGGGUGUGUAACACGUGGAUAACCUACCUCUCUUCCUGGGAUACCUUCGGGACUCCGGAUCUAAUACCGGAUAAUAUAUUGUACCGCAUGGUUCAAUAGUGAUUGACGGUUUUGGUGUAACUUAUAGAUGGUUCCCCGCCGCAUUAGCUAGUUGGUAAGGUAACGGCUUACCAAGGCAACGAUGCGUAGCCGAUCUGAGAGGGGGAUCGGCCACACGGGAACGGAGACACGGUCCAGGCGCCUGCGGGAGGCAGCAGUAGGGAAUCUUCGGCAAUGGGCGGAAGCCUGACGGAGCAACGCCGCGCGAGUGAUGAAGGUCUUCGGAUCGUAAAACUCUGUUAUUGGGGAAGAACAAAUGUGGAAGUAACUAUGCACGUCGUGACGGUACCUAAUCAGAAAGCCACGGCUAACUACGUG
This 497-nucleotide ribosomal RNA is filed under the name uncultured bacterium. Its description in RNAcentral is "partial 16S ribosomal RNA". It matches the Rfam family "Bacterial small subunit ribosomal RNA", at positions 28 to 507 of the family's 1533-position model. The record is from RNAcentral.